RNAcentral lists this ribosomal RNA (258 nucleotides) under uncultured bacterium. RNAcentral's name for it is "partial 16S ribosomal RNA". It matches the Rfam family "Bacterial small subunit ribosomal RNA", at positions 524 to 776 of the family's 1533-position model. The record is from RNAcentral.
UACGAAGGGGGCUAGCGUUUGUUCGGAUUUACUGGGCGUAAAAGCGCACGUAGGCGGAUCGAUCAGUCAGGGGUGAAAUCCCAGAGCUCAACUCUGGAACUGCCUUUGAUACUGUCGAUCUGGAGUAUGGAAGAGGUGAGUGGAAUUCCGAGUGUAGAGGUGAAAUUUCGUAGAUAUUCGGAGGAACACCAGUGGCGAAAGGCGGCUCACUGGUCCAUUACUGACGCUGAGGUGCGAAAGCGUGGGGGAGCAAACAGG